Molecule: long non-coding RNA, 2424 nt
Organism: Oncorhynchus tshawytscha (Chinook salmon)
Lineage: Eukaryota; Metazoa; Chordata; Actinopteri; Salmoniformes; Salmonidae
Source: Ensembl
GGGACAAACAAAAGUAGAGCACAACUGUAGAGUCAAGAUCCAAGGAGUACUUGCUACGUAUAAUUGUAAUCAUUUUAAUACAUUGGUCACAUCAGAGAAGCAGCCUUAAAGUAUGGAUAUUGGUCAUGUAAUGCUGUAUUUGCAUGACUCAAUAGCCGACAGUAUUGGGUGACAUGAUGCUUUGCACUUAUGUGAGCCAGUUGCUGCAGGAAUAUAAACACACAAACUAACACAGGUGUUUGGACUCUGUGUCGAAUACAACAGAUAAAACAAAGGAAAAGUUUUUCAUCACUACUAAAAAGAGAAGAACAUUCCGUCAGCCAAGAUACUCCAAAUGUCAUUUUUUAGACGAACCAGACUACAACCAAAGAGGAGAUGAACACCACUGACAAUGAACACCUUGCAGUCCCCAACCUCUCCUAUAGCAACUCAACUAGACUGGACUACUCUUCAAUGUAUAUUUUUUCAGUUUUCCAUGUCACCAACUUUGUGGUUGGCCUUCCUGUUAACAGUUGGGUGGUGUGGCUGAUUUUGACUGGAUCUGGGGUGGCUGCAGAGAUCUUCCCCCUCAACCUGAGCAUGACUGAGAUCCUCUACUGCAUAGGUACCCCACUUACGAUUGUAUACACCUACAUCCCUGAGGUGGCUCUUGGAAAAGUGGCGGCCUUCAUGUGGGGCUUUAUCUGGAUUUGUCGACCCCUGUUCCAGUGCUGUGUCUGUGUAGAGCGCUACCUGGCGGUGGUCCACCCUGUGGUCUUCUUAAAGUACAGACCCCUAAGAUACAGAGUGAGAUGUAGCGGUUUAGUCUGGUUUGUAGUUUUGGUUUCUUCUGUGGUCUUUGGAAUCUUCUAUCCUCAUGUACCACACUAUGGGAUCUUGGUCUUGUUCCUGAUUCCCUUUUUGGUAAUGUUGUUCUGCUGCCUCUCAAUUCUCAGAGCUCUUAAAAAGCCUGGGCCGGGGGACGGUGAAAAGGAGUCUGGAAAUAACUUGAAGAUGAAGGCCUUUAAGAUAAUUUUGAUUCUCAUGACGUCUGUGGCAGUAAACUAUAUCCCAUUACUAGUGGUUGUCAUCCUGAUUGAUCAAUCGAAUAGGGUGGAAUUAAUUGCUCCCAGUGUUUGCAUCAACAUGGCUGUGUUGUGUGGGUUGGUGCAGCCCUUUCUCUACCUCCACAGGGCUGGGAAACUGCCCUGUACCAGGAGUCCAACAGAUGAUUGAGGUGGAAAUGUAGCCCCUCCAUUCUCUCUCUCCAUUUUUCUUCAGUCGCUAAAAUCACAAAUACACAUAUCUUCACUCACAUGCACACGCACCACAAGUGUUCAGGCUGUGGGUGGAUUUGCUUAAUUGACGUAUCAGUCCUCUCGGUCAGACAGAUGUAAAUCUGACACUCCUCAUAGGAGAGACAAUUUUCAACACCACAGGUCAGACCCAAUUUGGGUUGUUUAAAGCUACAGUCUGGGAUUAGAAAAACAACAAAACAGCCACCCUGUCACUGGUAUACAGCUGAUAGAACAUGGCAUCCACAUGAUAGUUUCAAACAUAAUUAGAAGAGCAAUAUAUAGCUCUAUACAUCGGUUUGUUUACGAGUAAUAAAAAACAUUUUGUGCUUGAAUAGACCCGCUUUCUGUGUUUACAAACAUUGCCGCAUGAGGGUGAAGCGCGCAAAUUGGUGGGAGAACAAGUGGGUGUUCUUAAAGAACACCAGCAAAAAAAUCCGCUAUUUACAUGUUGCUUAUCAAUGCACUUGAUUACAAUUUGAUUUUAAGGCCUCCCUUUAUCUAAAGAUAAAUACAUGCAGAACCUUUUCACUUCAGUCUCACCUUUCGAUGCUCUCGUGACAUUCACUUGACAGAAAAUCAUGACAUCACAAGUAGGACCUCCCAUCCAUAGAAUGACAUAUUUCCAUCUGGAACUCUCAUGUUGUUUAGAGGUGUAACCAGACCUCACCUUCCUGACCUACCCUUGCUUAAUCCAGUUGACUCUCCAAUAGGGAAAAUGUGUUUCUCCUUGCUCCCUCAGAACAACAGAUAUAUAUGUGCUUUAUUUCAAAGGGAUAUUGUAUCCAUUCCUUAUGUCACAAGUUACUGGAAUACAUUUGUUGAUAAUAUCUGUUGGAAAAAAGUCUGGUUAUAACCACACAAAUACCUGCUUGUUGACAAGGUCAGAGGCAUCUUUCAGAAUGAUCCAUAAGUAUUACCCAGCGAAUCAUUUUACCUCAUAAAUCUAAUUGAAUUGUGCUAAUGGAAAAAUGUCAUAUUCAUAAAUGUAAAUUCACAAAUUAAAAAAACUCUUCUGUGUUUUCUAUCAUUUCAAACAAUACAUUAAGACCAUUCUACAUUCUUCUAAAAAGAAAGCUGUUAAAGCAAUCAAUAUGUGUACAUCUUUUAAGGUCUUUGUAUAAUCUGUCAUUUGCAUAUGUUAUCAUUG